UACGUAGGGUGCAAGCGUUAAUCGGAAUUACUGGGCGUAAAGCGUGCGCAGGCGGUUAUGCAAGACAGAGGUGAAAUCCCCGGGCUCAACCUGGGAACUGCAUUUGUGACUGCACAGCUUGAGUGCGGCAGAGGGGGAUGGAAUUCCGCGUGUAGCAGUGAAAUGCGUAGAUAUGCGGAGGAACACCGAUGGCGAAGGCAAUCCCCUGGGCCUGCACUGACGCUCAUGCACGAAAGCGUGGGGAGCAAACAGG
Molecule: ribosomal RNA, 253 nt
Filed under: uncultured bacterium
Lineage: Bacteria
Description: partial 16S ribosomal RNA
Rfam family: Bacterial small subunit ribosomal RNA
Source: RNAcentral